GUCGGCUACGUGGACGACACGCAGUUCGUGCGGUUCGACAGCGACGCCCCGAAUCCGAGGAUGGAGCCGCGGGCGCGGUGGGUGGAGCAGGUGGGGCCCGAGUAUUGGGAUCUGGAGACGCAGAACGCCGAGGGCAACGCACAGACCUUCCGAGCGAACCUGAACACCCUGCGCGGCUACUACAACCAGAGCGAGGCCGGGUCUCACACUCUCCAGGAGGUGACCGGCUGCGACGUGGGGCCGGACGGACGCCUCCUCCGCGGGUAUGAUCAGUUCGCCUACGACGGCAGAGAUUACCUCGCCCUGAACGAGGACCUGCGCUCCUGGACCGCGGCGGACACGGCUGCUCAGAUCACCAAACACAAGAUUGAGCAGCGCGGUGUGACGGAUCACGACAGGAACUACCUGGAGGGCACGUGCGUGGAGUGGCUCCACAGACACCUGGAGAACGGGAAGGACACGCUGCUGCGCGCAGACCCUCCAAAGGCACAUGUGACGCAUCACCCCAUCUCUGACCGUGAGGUCACCCUGAGGUGCUGGGCCCUGGGCUUCUACCCUGAGGAGAUCUCACUGACCUGGCAACGCGCAGUGGAGAGGACCAGACCCAGGACAUGGAGCUUGUGGAGACCAGGCCUUCAGGAGAUGGAACCUUCCAGAAGUGGGCGGCCCUGGUGGUGCCUUCUGGAGAGGAGCAGAGAUACACAUGCCGUGUGCAGCACGAGGGGCUUCAGGAGCCCCUCACCCUGAGAUGGGAACCUCCUCGGACCUCCUUCCUCACCGUGGGCAUCAUUGUUGGCCUGGUUCUCCUCGUGGUGGCUAUGGUGGCUGGAGCUGUGAUCUGGAGGAAGAAGCACUCAGGUGAAAAAGGACGGAUCUACACCCAGGCUGCAAGCAGUGACAGUGCCCAGGGUUCUGAUGUGUCUCUCAUGGUUCCUAAAAGUGAGACCCUUGAGAGUCUAGACUGGAAGGGGGAUUGGGGCAGAGGGGACACAUUGGGUGGCGGGGAUCUUUGAGUGGGAUAUGUGAGC
This is a non-coding RNA of Odocoileus virginianus texanus, 1028 nucleotides long. The record is from RefSeq and is a predicted model, not a curated record. Lineage: Eukaryota; Metazoa; Chordata; Mammalia; Artiodactyla; Cervidae.